ACACUCCUGCGGGAGGCAGCAGUGGGGAAUUUUGGACAAUGGGCGAAAGCCUGAUCCAGCAAUGCCGCGUGUGUGAAGAAGGCCUUCGGGUUGUAAAGCACUUUUGUCCGGAAAGAAAUCCUUGGCUCUAAUACAGUCGGGGGAUGACGGUACCGGAAGAAUAAGCACCGGCUAACUACGUGCCAGCAGCCGCGGUAAUACGUAGGGUGCGAGCGUUAAUCGGAAUUACUGGGCGUAAAGCGUGCGCAGGCGGUUUGCUAAGACCGAUGUGAAAUCCCCGGGCUCAACCUGGGAACUGCAUUGGUGACUGGCAGGCUAGAGUAUGGCAGAGGGGGGUAGAAUUCCACAUGUAGCAGUGAAAUGCGUAGAGAUGUGGAGGAAUACCGAUGGCGAAGGCAGCCCCCUGGGCCAAUACUGACGCUCAUGCACGAAAGCGUGGGGAGCAAACAGGAUUAGAUACCCGGGUAGUCCCAUGA
This 476-nucleotide ribosomal RNA is filed under the name uncultured organism. RNAcentral's name for it is "partial 16S ribosomal RNA". It matches the Rfam family "Bacterial small subunit ribosomal RNA", at positions 333 to 800 of the family's 1533-position model. The record is from RNAcentral.